This 484-nucleotide ribosomal RNA is filed under the name uncultured bacterium. RNAcentral's name for it is "partial 16S ribosomal RNA". It matches the Rfam family "Bacterial small subunit ribosomal RNA", at positions 30 to 507 of the family's 1533-position model. The record is from RNAcentral.
AUUGAACGCUGGCGGCAGGCCUAACACAUGCAAGUCGAGCGGAUGAAGGGAGCUUGCUCCUGGAUUCAGCGGCGGACGGGUGAGUAAUGCCUAGGAAUCUGCCUGGUAGUGGGGGAUAACGUCCGGAAACGGGCGCUAAUACCGCAUACGUCCUGAGGGAGAAAGUGGGGGAUCUUCGGACCUCACGCUAUCGGAUGAGCCUAGGUCGGAUUAGCUAGUUGGUGGGGUAAAGGCCUACCAAGGCGACGAUCCGUAACUGGUCUGAGAGGAUGAUCAGUCACACUGGAACUGAGACACGGUCCAGACUCCUACGGGAGGCAGCAGUGGGGAAUAUUAGACAAUGGGCGAAAGCCUGAUCCAGCCAUGCCGCGUGUGUGAAGAAGGUCUUCGGAUUGUAAAGCACUUUAAGUUGGGAGGAAGGGCAGUAAGUUAAUACCUUGCUGUUUUGACGUUACCAACAGAAUAAGCACCGGCUAACUUCGUG